AGGAUAAACGCUGGCGGCGUGCCUAACACAUGCAAGUCGAACGCGCUUUCGGGCUUCGGUGCGAGAGCGAGUGGCGGACGGGUGAGUAACACAUGGGUACCUGCCUUUCAGUGAGGGAUACCGGCGAGAAAUCGCCGACAAUACCGCAUGGGCUUGUGGGAACACAAGCAAAGUGGCGCAAGCCACGCUGGAAGAUGGGCCUGUGGCCGAUUAGCUAGUUGGGGGGGUAAUGGCCUCCCAAGGCGACGAUCGGUAGCUGGUCUGAGAGGACGAUCAGCCACACUGGGAUUGAGAACGGCCCAGACUCCUACGGGGGCAGCAGUGAGGAAUUUUCCGCAAUGGACGAAAGUCUGACGGAGCAACGCCGCGUGCAGGAGGAAGGUUUUCGGAUCGUAAACUGCUUUUCUCGGGGACGAGCAAGGACGGUACCCGAGGAAGAAGCCCCGGCUAACUACGUGCCAGCAGCCGC
RNAcentral lists this ribosomal RNA (469 nucleotides) under uncultured bacterium. Its description in RNAcentral is "SSU rRNA". It matches the Rfam family "Bacterial small subunit ribosomal RNA", at positions 26 to 518 of the family's 1533-position model. The record is from RNAcentral.